CUUUCACAUGGCGCAAAUAUAGAAGCAAUAAACAAGGAUCACCUCACUCCACUUUUACUUGCUGUGAGUGGAAAAAAAGAGGAAAUGGUAGAAUUUUUGGUAAAGAAGAAUGCAAAUGUAAAUGCAGUCGAUAAAAUGAACAGAACAGCCCUCGUGCUUGCUGCACAUUGUAAAUCACCAAGUAUAGUCACUCUUCUUCUUGAGCAAGAUACUGAUGUUUUUCAUGAAGAUAUCUUUGGAUGGGCUGCAAAAGAUUAUCCCACUGCUAGUGGUUUACAUAAUAUUCACCACCAAACUUCAGAAUAUAAAGAAGAAAAGAUACCUGACAACGCUUCUCAAAAUAACAAUGCAG
This is a long non-coding RNA of Lemur catta (Ring-tailed lemur), 352 nucleotides long. RefSeq lists it as uncharacterized. The record is from RefSeq and is a predicted model, not a curated record. NCBI's taxonomy places the organism in Eukaryota, Metazoa, Chordata, Mammalia, Primates, Lemuridae. The transcript is spliced from 4 exons.